CUUCCCGUCAUCGGGGAGUAGCUGACCGGAUCCUGUCCGGUGCCUGGCGUCAACAUGCUUGUCCCUCACGGACAUGGCGCAGGCAGCCCCUCCGGGCCUGGCAAGACCGAUGACCAUGCAGCCUCCGGACGGGCCGGUGGUGCUGCAUGGUCAUCGCUGAUCCUGCACCA
Molecule: small RNA, 170 nt
Filed under: Sphaerotilus natans
Lineage: Bacteria; Pseudomonadati; Pseudomonadota; Betaproteobacteria; Burkholderiales; Sphaerotilaceae
Description: Manganese sequence
Rfam family: Manganese Mn2+ riboswitch aptamer (yybP-ykoY)
About the family: This RNA was originally discovered in E. coli during a large scale screen and was named SraF. The family was later found to exist upstream of related families of protein genes in many bacteria, including the the yybP and ykoK genes in B. subtilis. The specific functions of these proteins are unknown, but this structured RNA element may be involved in their genetic regulation as a riboswitch.
Source: RNAcentral